GGAAUAUUGGUCAAUGGGCGAGAGCCUGAACCAGCCAAGUAGCGUGCAGGAAGACUGCCCUAUGGGUUGUAAACUGCUUUUAUGCGGGAAUAAAGUCAGGUACGUGUACCUGUUUGUAUGUACCGCAUGAAUAAGGACCGGCUAAUUCCGUGCCAGCAGCCGCGGUAAUACGGAAGGUCCGGGCGUUAUCCGGAUUUAUUGGGUUUAAAGGGAGCGCAGGCCGGAGGUCAAGCGUGACGUGAAAUGUAGCCGCUCAACGGCUGAGUUGCGUCGCGAACUGGUUUCCUUGAGUGAGUACGACGUCAGCGGAAUUCGUGGUGUAGCGGUGAAAUGCUUAGAUAUCACGAAGAACUCCGAUUGCGAAGGCAGCCAACAAGGCCUUUACUGACGCUAAAGCUCGAAGGUGCGGGUAUCGAACA
Molecule: ribosomal RNA, 419 nt
Filed under: uncultured Prevotella sp.
Lineage: Bacteria; Pseudomonadati; Bacteroidota; Bacteroidia; Bacteroidales; Prevotellaceae
Description: bacterial SSU rRNA
Rfam family: Bacterial small subunit ribosomal RNA
Source: RNAcentral